AAGGAUCGUCUAUGGUUCGGUUGGAGGUCCGCUUCGUCAUCACCAUGAUCCAGUUCUCGGAGGUGGAAUGUGUCAAGCCUUGUGCUCUCCUGCUUGGUCUACGAGAGUGGUUAUCAAGGUUUGGUGAUGAACAUGUUUAGUUGCAAAGCAUUCGCAGUACUGACUUAUUGACAGAUCUGGUAGCUUUGCUUCUUUUUCUUUGUUGCAGGGUCUAGCUAGCCGUAGAUGGAGCCAUUGCCUCAACCCGACUUUCACAGUUUCAAAACCUCUGUCCCCAGCUUCUGGUCCUUCCAUGUGGAAUUUGCGCUUUACGAGCGAUGAUGCGACUGGC
Molecule: long non-coding RNA, 331 nt
Filed under: Brassica rapa (field mustard)
Lineage: Eukaryota; Viridiplantae; Streptophyta; Magnoliopsida; Brassicales; Brassicaceae
Description: long non-coding RNA (BRAP_LNC004190)
Source: RNAcentral